AUUGAACGCUGGCGGCAUGCCUUACACAUGCAAGUCGAACGGUAACAGGUCUUCGGAUGCUGACGAGUGGCGAACGGGUGAGUAAUACAUCGGAACGUGCCCGAUCGUGGGGGAUAACGAGGCGAAAGCUUUGCUAAUACCGCAUACGAUCUGCGGACGAACGCGGGGGAUCGUCGGACCUCGCGCGGACGGAGCGGCCGAUGGCAGCUUAGGUAGUUGGUGGGAUAAAAGCGUACCCAGACGACGAUCUGUAGCUGGUCUGAGAGGAUGAUCAGCCACACUGGGACUGAGACACGGCCCAGACUCCUACGGGAGGCAGCAGUGGGGAAUUUUGGACGAUGGGCGAAAGCCUGAUCCAGCCAUGCCGCGUGCAGGAUGAAGGCCUUUGGGUUGUAAACUGCUUUUGUACGGAACGAAAAGCCUCUUUCUAAUAAAGAGGGGUCAUGACGGUACCGUAAGAAUAAGCACCGGCUAACUACGUG
This 482-nucleotide ribosomal RNA is filed under the name uncultured bacterium. RNAcentral's name for it is "partial 16S ribosomal RNA". It matches the Rfam family "Bacterial small subunit ribosomal RNA", at positions 30 to 507 of the family's 1533-position model. The record is from RNAcentral.